GAUGAACGCUGGCGGCGUGCCUAAUACAUGCAAGUCGAGCGAACGGACGAGAAGCUUGCUUCUCUGAUGUUAGCGGCGGACGGGUGAGUAACACGUGGAUAACCUACCUAUAAGACUGGGAUAACUUCGGGAAACCGUAGCUAAUACCGGAUAAUAUUUUGAACCGCAUGGUUCAAAAGUGAAAGACGGUCUUGCUGUCACUUAUAGAUGGAUCCGCGCUGCAUUAGCUAGUUGGUAAGGUAACGGCUUACCAAGGCAACGAGGCAUAGCCGACCUGAGAGGGUGAUCGGCCACACUGGAACGGAACCACGGUCCAGACUCCUACGGGAGGCAGCAGUAGGGAAUCUUCCGCAAUGGGCGAAAGCCUGACGGAGCAACGCCGCGUGAGUGAUGAAGGUCUUCGGAUCGUAAAACUCUGUUAUUAGGGAAGAACAUAUGUGUAAGUAACUGUGCACAUCUUGACGGUACCUAAUCAGAAAGCCACGGCUAACUACGUG
Molecule: ribosomal RNA, 497 nt
Filed under: uncultured bacterium
Lineage: Bacteria
Description: partial 16S ribosomal RNA
Rfam family: Bacterial small subunit ribosomal RNA
Source: RNAcentral